Vigna angularis (adzuki bean) is the source of this 449-nucleotide long non-coding RNA. RefSeq lists it as uncharacterized. The record is from RefSeq and is a predicted model, not a curated record. The transcript is spliced from 2 exons. NCBI's taxonomy places the organism in Eukaryota, Viridiplantae, Streptophyta, Magnoliopsida, Fabales, Fabaceae.
UUUGAGAGAACCGAGCGCAGCAGCAAUGCAAUGGCGUCCGAGUUCCGUUGCGGGCGCAUAGAAAACCCUAAUUUUUCUCAUUUCUCUCUGCGAUUUGAUUCCAGGCCGUUCCAAUGGGUUCUCAGCAAAAUGCUGUUUGAGUUCUCAAUUUCACCCGGCCAAAAUCUGAUCCCUUUUUGGGGGGCAGCCUCAAGGAUUUUACGUGUUUACCCUCAUGUUUAAAUUCAGGGAAACUGCCCUAAAUUUCAUCUAUCACUGUGUUUUUCUUUUUUUCCCAAAACAAUAGAUUCUGGGGUGAAAUGUUCUUUUACUACGUCAAAACAAGUGAUUUUAUCAUGAUUUUUCUUGCUGUGGAAAUUUUUGUGAUGUGAUGUGAUGAUUACUUGUGACAUUUGCCAGUAAUUGUAGUUGCUUGGGCGAAAUUUUAAAGUAAGGUUUCGGGUUACUCA